UUAUAUUAAAUGAUUAAUAUUUAUUGAAUUCCAAAACAUUAAUUAAGUAUCUCAUUUGAAAAUCCAUUCAGCUGAGGGAUUAUUCACGUCCAAUCUCCAAACCUGAGUCUCUACCACACCAAUCUCAACCAGAUAUAAUAUUUUCAGAAGAACUAGAAGAAGAAAUAACAGAAUUUAAAGUGGAAAAUGAGAGAAGUUUUGAUAAGAGUGCAGAAAAUCAAGAAUUUAGUGUGUCUGACCCUAAUGGACCACAGGAAUCUUCUACAACAGGUCCCAACUCAUCCAAAAUGGACAAUGAUGCAGAAAAAAAUGUAAUAAUGCAUCAGGAGAGAACAUCUGUCAUGGAAGACCAAGAGCAUGCCUCAGAAGAGCAGAAGCAGCACAGUGCUAGAAAAACUAAGCGGCCAUUUAUUGAUGCUAUAAGAGCAUGCUUUUGUGCAUGUUUCACCAAAAAACGGAGCUCUUCUUCCCACUACAAGAAAUAGAAGAGAAAACAUAAAAAAGUGAUGAACUUGGACAAGCCUCGACAAUUGCCUGACAACUUCUCCGACCAUCCACAAUAAGACAACUCAGGAGAAAAUCUGUCUCUUCUCCAAUAAUUGCUUCAAAAAAAAGCAUAUUUUUAUUUUAUGUUUUAGAAUAAUAUUACAUAAUCUUCAGUGUUAUUUUCACCUAUUUAUUUUGUUUUAUUAUGUUAUACUAUAUUACACUAUUAUAUUAUCUUCA
Peromyscus eremicus (cactus mouse) is the source of this 726-nucleotide long non-coding RNA. RefSeq lists it as uncharacterized. The transcript is spliced from 6 exons. NCBI's taxonomy places the organism in Eukaryota, Metazoa, Chordata, Mammalia, Rodentia, Cricetidae. The record is from RefSeq and is a predicted model, not a curated record.